CGCCGCGGUCCUAGUGCCACCAGAGAAGCCGCGGACCCGGCCCGCAGAUAACACCCGGGCUUGCAGAGCGCUUUCAUCUGCCCGACGCGGAAAUCUCCUGCAGCGAUCUUCUACCUUCAGCGUGCAUCCGCAGCACCCAGAGGGCACGUUAAAGAGAGAUUGAGAACCACCAGCAAAACUGCUGAUUCAGUUCUUAUUUGAGACACUCCCCAAAACAAUGAAGCCAUCCUUGUAAUUAAAAGUGGCAACAGAAAACACCUGAAAAAAGGCCUCAAUCUGAACCAUGUCAGGAGGUUUAGAACACAAGAGGACUCACCCAGUGAAUUCCAGGGCUAUCAAGAUCAAUGGAGUGCAAAAGCGUCCUGCAGUCAAGGGAAGUCGCAAAACCAGACGGAAUUCAAGGGAAGGAAACCGACUCCGCCUCUGAUGGCUGCAACAGUAUGCACAUUCAGGGAGGAAAGGAAUUAGCAGUGGUCAUCUUUCUGGACCAUCUACCACAGUGGCUAAAGUUAACACCUAGAAAGGAAGGUCGUGUUUUCAGCUUCUUUGACUGCUGCUCCAGGUGUCAAACCCUGAAGGGUGAGCUGACGCUAAAGACUGAGUGGUUAUUUUUUCCAGAAGAGGAGAAAGAUUGAAAAUGUGGCCGGCCGAUUCUCCCUGAUGAUCACACAGACAGACCUGCAUGACAGUCAAACAGACAGGCCUGCAUAGCACCCCAGUUACACAGACGAAUUUCCCCAGAGCUGCCUUAACAUUGAGCAAAUAGUUAAACCUAGGGAAAUUGGUGCCCAGACAGCAAAGCUAGAAAUGAAACAUAUGGUCAGUAGGAGCCUUGCGUGGGCUUCUCCCUAACCUGGAGCAAACCAAAAUAAUAGAGACAGUCUUUCAUUCCUAGUGCCAGGACCCGUCUCGGGUCAACGAAAUCUGAGACAGUCAAGGUAACAGAGGCAGCUGUUCGAAUAGAUUCAUUGGAGAGUCUAAGGCAGCCCUCCAGACCAAGCUGUAAAGCAGAUAAGAUAGAAAUAAUCACUCUGGUACCACAGUAGACAGGCCUUGUAGGUACUGGGCCGCUCACAGCUUAAUCCGACUUAGAAAGCAUUUUUGCCUCUGACCUUCUAGUUGAAACAAAAUUAGUUACCAGUAGACUUAGGCAAAUGCUACACUGCACACAGGCGCAUAACCCCAACCUAUAUAAACACUAAGACAAUUGUUGACACUUUGAGUUGGCCUGGUGGAAUUAUCUCCAGCCUUCUGCCUGUAUCUGGUUACAGCAAUAAAUUCCCUUCUUUCCUA
This is a long non-coding RNA of Homo sapiens (human), 1293 nucleotides long. Ensembl annotates it as long intergenic non-protein coding RNA 2422. The record is from Ensembl. NCBI's taxonomy places the organism in Eukaryota, Metazoa, Chordata, Mammalia, Primates, Hominidae.